RNAcentral lists this long non-coding RNA (1018 nucleotides) under Strigops habroptila (Kakapo). RNAcentral's name for it is "lncRNA (ENSSHBG00005014266.1)". Lineage: Eukaryota; Metazoa; Chordata; Aves; Psittaciformes; Psittacidae. The record is from RNAcentral.
UUUUCCUUUUCUGACUCUCUGUAGCCAUUCACUAAAUGAUUUAAGAUGUUGAAAAUAUAGGAUAACAAGUAGCUUGUUAAAAGAAAACGUACAAUGUGCCAGCUCCAGUGGGUUGAGUAAGGCUAUAAUCUUUAAAGUUGGUUGGACGUGUUUUAGCAAGCUAUAUUUUUCACAAGGAAAAAGACACAAAAGCUGCAAGAGAGCCUCACUACUCAAUCAAGAAAGUAAAAAAAUUCCUUAGCUCUUAGUUUAAAAGAUCAGACUAUUCCACGUUAACUUCUUUAGACUGAUAAUUGUGAAGAGACUAUAAUUUAAAACAGGUUUGUGCUUCUAAACCUGCAGUUAAUUUCCAUUAAAAAAGCAUUAAAACCUUAGAAUUAAAAGAACAAAACUCAAAUGAAAUAUUUGGAAACAUCUCAGUUAAACUGCUUCAAAUCAUCCAAGCCCAGGGCUCUGCUUUUCCUCGGUAAUCAGCCAGCAAAACCCCCCAAAGGCUCACUUUCAUCUUGAUUUGGAAUGAGAGCAAAAUGAAAAAUAAAAAGAGAAACCUCUUUCCAGCGAGGAAACCUUUCCAAGCCCUGCUGGGAAAGCUGAGCAUUCACCCUCCAUCCAUUCCUGCAGAUACAGGAGGCUUCCCAAAGGCACCUGCUGCCAGCCAUGCCUCUAUCAACAUCCUCCCUCCCUCCAGUUUUUCGCUUUGGCAGAGGAACAGUUUCCCCAGUCGCUGUUUUCCAGCACUAGUGCACUGCAUUAAAGUGCAUUAAAGCACACCGGGUUUCAGGCAGGGUAAAUGCCGGUGCUGCAAGUUGCUUUGGAGACGGUGUUACUCAGGUUUACCUCUCAGCCACUGCGCUCCCUUCCAGCAGGCCCUCUCCCUGGGGAAGGGGCGAGCUCUCCCCUCAGGUAGCCGGAUGUCGCGUCAGCCGACGACAGCAGGAUGGUGCUUUGGCAUGGCUGCAGGCACCGCGCCGGGCGAGGAGGGCGGUAAGCGAAGCACCCUGGCCAACUGUCCUGUCUC